Non-coding RNA from Acanthosepion pharaonis, 98 nucleotides. Lineage: Eukaryota; Metazoa; Mollusca; Cephalopoda; Sepiida; Sepiidae. The record is from the annotation of a GenBank genome assembly.
ACGGCCACAUCACAUAGAAACACCGGUUCCCGUACGAUCACCGAAGUUAAGCAACGUCGCGCGUGGUUUGUAUCUACAUGGGUGACCGUUUGAGAAUA